GGAGAGGUGGCAGAGUGGUCGAUCGCGGCGGUCUUGAAAACCGCUUUACCAGCAAUGGUAACGGGGGUUCGAAUCCCUCCCUCUCCG
Molecule: transfer RNA, 87 nt
Filed under: Flavobacteriales bacterium
Lineage: Bacteria; Pseudomonadati; Bacteroidota; Flavobacteriia; Flavobacteriales
Description: tRNA-Ser
Rfam family: tRNA
About the family: Transfer RNA (tRNA) molecules are approximately 80 nucleotides in length. Their secondary structure includes four short double-helical elements and three loops (D, anti-codon, and T loops).
Source: RNAcentral